This is a non-coding RNA of Canis lupus familiaris (dog), 105 nucleotides long. The record is from Rfam. NCBI's taxonomy places the organism in Eukaryota, Metazoa, Chordata, Mammalia, Carnivora, Canidae.
AGGAGGAACAACCGCAGUGGCGGGGCCAGCUCUGGAGCCCUGGAGUCAGCUCCCGCAGUAAUCACAGAGCUCUCCGUCUGCAGGGCCUGGAGGCUCCGGGCGGAG